RNAcentral lists this ribosomal RNA (292 nucleotides) under uncultured bacterium. RNAcentral describes it as "partial 16S ribosomal RNA". It matches the Rfam family "Bacterial small subunit ribosomal RNA", at positions 505 to 796 of the family's 1533-position model. The record is from RNAcentral.
GUGUCAGCCGCCGCGGUAAGACGUAGGGGGCGAGCGUUGUCCGGAUUCAUUGGGCGUAAAGCGCGCGUAGGCGGCCCGGUAAGUCGGGUGUGAAAUCCUGAGGCUCAACCUCAGGACUGCAUCCGAUACUGUCGGGCUAGAGGUAGGUAGGGGAGAUCGGAAUUCCUGGUGUAGCGGUGAAAUGCGCAGAUAUCAGGAGGAACACCGGUGGCGAAGGCGGAUCUCUGGGCCUUACCUGACGCUCAGGCGCGAAAGCUAGGGGAGCAAACAGGAUUAGAAACCCUUGUAGUCC